GAGACAGCAGUCGCCGCGGGAAAACGGAGGGUGCAAGCGUUAUCCGGAUUUAUUGGGUUUAAAGGGUCCGUAGGCGGAUCUGUAAGUCAGUGGUGAAAUCUCACAGCUUAACUGUGAAACUGCCAUUGAUACUGCAGGUCUUGAGUAAAUUUGAAGUGGCUGGAAUAAGUAGUGUAGCGGUGAAAUGCAUAGAUAUUACUUAGAACACCAAUUGCGAAGGCAGGUCACUAAGAUUUAACUGACGCUGAUGGACGAAAGCGUGGGGAGCGAACAGGAUUAGAUACCCCUGUAGUCCCUGUCUCUUAUAC
This 308-nucleotide ribosomal RNA is filed under the name uncultured bacterium. Its description in RNAcentral is "partial 16S ribosomal RNA". It matches the Rfam family "Bacterial small subunit ribosomal RNA", at positions 505 to 807 of the family's 1533-position model. The record is from RNAcentral.